AGCAGUGAGGAAUAUUGGACAAUGGGCGCAAGCCUGAUCCAGCCAUGCCGCGUGAAGGAAGAAUGUCCUACGGAUUGUAAACUUCUUUUAUUUGGGAAGAAACUUCUCUACGUGUAGAGAACUGACGGUACCAAACGAAUAAGGACCGGCUAACUCCGUGCCAGCAGCCGCGGUAAUACGGAGGGUCCAAGCGUUAUCCGGAAUCAUUGGGUUUAAAGGGUUCGCAGGCGGUUUAAUAAGUCAGUGGUGAAAUCUCUCGGCUCAACCGAGAAACUGCCAUUGAUACUGUUAGACUUGAAUAUAGUUGGAGUAGGCGGAAUGUGUAGUGUAGCGGUGAAAUGCUUAGAUAUUACACAGAACACCGAUAGCGAAGGCAGCUUACUAAACUAUAAUUGACGCUCAUGAACGAAAGCGUGGGGAGCGAACAGGAUUAGAUACCCUGGUAGUCCACGCCGUAAACUAUGAUUACUCGAUAUUGGCGAUACACUGUCAGUGUCU
This 498-nucleotide ribosomal RNA is filed under the name uncultured bacterium. RNAcentral's name for it is "bacterial SSU rRNA". It matches the Rfam family "Bacterial small subunit ribosomal RNA", at positions 350 to 848 of the family's 1533-position model. The record is from RNAcentral.